GAGAGGAUCCGCAAAGAAAAAGAAGGGAGGGCAAGGAAGUGAAAAGACAAAGAAGUGAGGAAAAGGAAGUGCAAAGAAACCAAUGUGAGAAAGAAGUUAAUGAAGUUAUGUUGCUUGGCGAUGAGAUUGGCGAGAGCACGGAGGGGACAAAGGUUGAGUUUACUCUCGGGGACAUUGAUUUGGAUCAACCUACAGCUGUGCUAUCUCAGUUGAACGUUUGGUUGAAUGAUAAAGGUAAAGUUGUGGAACAAGCGGUCCAAUUACGGAAGAGGAAGAGGAUCAUUCCUAUGUGGAAGAUCAUUGAAGAUAGUGAAUUGGUUCAAAAAAAUCUGCCAGAGACAACCCGACUUCAGAUGUUAGACCCAAUGAAGGCGAUUCCGCAUGAUGAUAUGUUAAAAUUGCUGAAACUUUGUUAGGAAUGACGCCAUAACCCAAAUUUGGUGAUGCAAUUUGGCAACGUGGAAGGUGAGAUUGAAUUCUUCACUUCCCUCGUCAAAGCUGACGGUUGGCUGAAAGCAGAUCACAUUGAUUUGGGGUUGUAUCUCAUUCGGAAGCGACAACAAGAGUUGGAAGAAGUAGAAAUAUCGGACUGGACAACGACCGAUGUAUUUUUUAUGAAUCGCAUUUAUACUUACUUUGCGGAUAAUAAAAGAAAAAAGAGAGCAGGUUUGGUGGAAAAUUAGAAACAGUUUACUGAACGUUGUAAAUGGCAAGGUUCCGGCAUGUGGGAUGGAUUGGCAGAACGCUUAUAAGGUGUAUGCCCCUUGUAUGUUGACGAAGUACAAGCAUUGGGUGGCUGUAAUGAUUGAUCUGGUUAAGUGUGAAAUUGAAGUGUACGAUUCACUGGUUUCACUUAUUCCAGAGGAGAUCUUAAAGGAAGAACUCGCCCCGCUUUCAAUUACGAUUCCAAAUCUUCUCAACACCAUCGACUUUUAUGAAGAAGGUGUUUAUGCAAACAAUUGCAGCCGGGAUUGGUGGUGUCCGUGGCCAAUAGAAUGUGUAGGCGAUUGUGACAUGUUCGUGUUGAAGUACAUUGAGCUUUUGAGCACUAAGAUUCCGUUAGCUACUUGCACCUUGCAGAACAUGCCCUUUUUUCGGUUAAAAUUGGCUGCAGAGAUAACACGAGGAGAUGCUUACAUGCCAUGAUAUUGGUUGAACUUGGUUUAGGUACAUGAUGAUUAAAUAGGUUUUGGGAAUGUCCAAUUUCAAACUCAUGUAAAUACACAAUAGAGACCUACGGGUCCUUUUCGAAUUUUACCUAUGCUCUUCUAUUCUUCUU
This is a long non-coding RNA of Prunus persica (peach), 1279 nucleotides long. RefSeq lists it as uncharacterized. The record is from RefSeq and is a predicted model, not a curated record. NCBI's taxonomy places the organism in Eukaryota, Viridiplantae, Streptophyta, Magnoliopsida, Rosales, Rosaceae. The transcript has 5 exons.